GCACCCGAAGCCGGUGGCCGAACCCGCAAGGGACGGAGCCGUCUAAGGUGUGCCUGGUAAGGGGGGUGAAGUCGUAACAAGGUAGCCGUACCGGAAGGUGCGGCUGGAUCACCUCCUUUCUAGGGAG
This 127-nucleotide ribosomal RNA is filed under the name Thermovirga sp. RNAcentral's name for it is "partial 16S ribosomal RNA". It matches the Rfam family "Bacterial small subunit ribosomal RNA", at positions 1417 to 1533 of the family's 1533-position model. The record is from RNAcentral. Lineage: Bacteria; Thermotogati; Synergistota; Synergistia; Synergistales; Thermovirgaceae.